This 84-nucleotide small nucleolar RNA is filed under the name Bemisia tabaci. Its description in RNAcentral is "small nucleolar RNA R38". It matches the Rfam family "Small nucleolar RNA R38". From Rfam's summary of the family: snoR38 is a C/D box small nucleolar RNA conserved across yeast, human, Arabidopsis and rice. Lineage: Eukaryota; Metazoa; Arthropoda; Insecta; Hemiptera; Aleyrodidae. The record is from RNAcentral.
AAUCUUUAAUGAUGAAAACAUUAUAUUUUACCAGUUAUCCCUGUCAGAUUAUGAUAUGGUGAUUACCCGUUUUCUGAAAUCCAU